Molecule: ribosomal RNA, 492 nt
Filed under: uncultured bacterium
Lineage: Bacteria
Description: partial 16S ribosomal RNA
Rfam family: Bacterial small subunit ribosomal RNA
Source: RNAcentral
GAUGAACGCUAGCUACAGGCUUAACACAUGCAAGUCGAGGGGAAACGACAUCGAAAGCUUGCUUUUGAUGGGCGUCGACCGGCGCACGGGUGAGUAACGCGUAUCCAACCUGCCCAUCACUUGGGGAUAACCUUGCGAAAGUAAGACUAAUACCCAAUGAUAUCUCUAGAAGACAUCUGAAAGAGAUUAAAGAUUUAUCGGUGAUGGAUGGGGAUGCGUCUGAUUAGCUUGUUGGCGGGGUAACGGCCCACCAAGGCAACGAUCAGUAGGGGUUCUGAGAGGAAGGUCCCCCACAUUGGAACUGAGACACGGUCCAAACUCCUACGGGAGGCAGCAGUGAGGAAUAUUGGUCAAUGGGCGAGAGCCUGAACCAGCCAAGUAGCGUGCAGGAAGACGGCCCUAUGGGUUGUAAACUGCUUUUAUAAGGGAAUAAAGUGAGAGUCGUGACUCUUUUUGUAUGUACCUUAUGAAUAAGAACCGGCUAAUUCCGUG